This 29-nucleotide small RNA is filed under the name Bombyx mori (domestic silkworm). RNAcentral describes it as "ovarian small RNA-14532". The record is from RNAcentral. Lineage: Eukaryota; Metazoa; Arthropoda; Insecta; Lepidoptera; Bombycidae.
CGUAAUGAAAAAUGCCAAACCAAUGUUAU